RNAcentral lists this ribosomal RNA (567 nucleotides) under uncultured bacterium. RNAcentral describes it as "partial 16S ribosomal RNA". It matches the Rfam family "Bacterial small subunit ribosomal RNA", at positions 355 to 914 of the family's 1533-position model. The record is from RNAcentral.
UGGGGAAUUUUGGACAAUGGGCGCAAGCCUGAUCCAGCAAUGCCGCGUGCAGGAAGAAGGCCUUCGGGUUGUAAACUGCUUUUGUCAGGGAAGAAAUCCUUUGGGUUAAUACCUCGAAGGGAUGACGGUACCUGAAGAAUAAGCACCGGCUAACUACGUGCCAGCAGCCGCGGUAAUACGUAGGGUGCGAGCGUUAAUCGGAAUUACUGGGCGUAAAGCGUGCGCAGGCGGCUUUGCAAGACAGAGGUGAAAUCCCCGGGCUCAACCUGGGAACUGCCUUUGUGACUGCAAGGCUAGAGUACGGCAGAGGGGGAUGGAAUUCCGCGUGUAGCAGUGAAAUGCGUAGAUAUGCGGAGGAACACCGAUGGCGAAGGCAAUCCCCUGGGCCUGUACUGACGCUCAUGCACGAAAGCGUGGGGAGCAAAACAGGAUUAGAUACCCUGGUAGUCCACGCCCUAAACGAUGUCAACUGGUUGUUGGACGGCUUGCUGUUCAGUAACGAAGCUAACGCGUGAAGUUGACCGCCUGGGGAGUACGGCCGCAAGGUUGAAACUCAAAAGAAUUGAC